GAUGAACGCUAGCGGCAGGCCUAACACAUGCAAGUCGAGGGGUAGAGUUAGCUUGCUAACUUGAGACCGGCGCACGGGUGCGUAACGCGUAUGCAAUCUACCUUGUACAGAGGGAUAGCCCAGAGAAAUUUGGAUUAAUACCUCAUAGUGUUAUAGAGUGGCAUCACUUUAUGACUAAAGUUCCAACGGUACAAGAUGAGCAUGCGUCCCAUUAGUUAGUUGGUGUGGUAACGGCACACCAAGACGAUGAUGGGUAGGGGUCCUGAGAGGGAGAUCCCCCACACUGGUACUGAGACACGGACCAGACUCCUACGGGAGGCAGCAGUGAGGAAUAUUGGGCAAUGGAGGCAACUCUGACCCAGCCAUGCCGCAUGCAGGAAGACGGUCCUAUGGAUUGUAAACUGCUUUUGUACGGGAAGAAACCCCAGGACGUGUCCUGGGUUGACGGUACCGGAGGAAUAAGCACCGGCUAACUUCGUG
This 480-nucleotide ribosomal RNA is filed under the name uncultured bacterium. RNAcentral's name for it is "bacterial SSU rRNA". It matches the Rfam family "Bacterial small subunit ribosomal RNA", at positions 28 to 507 of the family's 1533-position model. The record is from RNAcentral.